CUCAUAUUUCUUGUAUUUUAUGUAUGAAUGAUUUAUUAUUAUAAUUUUCAGUCACAUACUUUAAAAUUUCUACAACAUUCUGGCUGCCUCUGAAAACAUUGCUUCGUUAUAUUUCGGUAAACCAUGAACCACAAAUAAAUAUGUCUGUUUCCAAUGUAGCGGUUUCAUUUAUUAUAAUUGAAUGAGUGAAGAUGGCGCAUAUGAGAUAAAGCUAGAACUAAAAAACGUAAA
Long non-coding RNA from Megachile rotundata (alfalfa leafcutting bee), 231 nucleotides. The record is from RefSeq and is a predicted model, not a curated record. NCBI's taxonomy places the organism in Eukaryota, Metazoa, Arthropoda, Insecta, Hymenoptera, Megachilidae.